Molecule: long non-coding RNA, 1444 nt
Filed under: Chinchilla lanigera (long-tailed chinchilla)
Lineage: Eukaryota; Metazoa; Chordata; Mammalia; Rodentia; Chinchillidae
Description: lncRNA (ENSCLAG00000029003.1)
Source: RNAcentral
GGCAGACCGCCUGGCAGUGCUGAGGCCGAGGGCCCUGCACACCGCACACCAGGCUUUCGAUUCCUCUCUGCCUGUGCACCCACCUCUCCCGCACAGCUGAUCCUCCCACAUCCAGGCUGCUCUUCCUCCGCUCCCCCUCCGCGCACAGGGCGUCUUGCACUCCUCUAGUCCCCCCAGCACCUCUGUGGCCCCUGGUGCCGUGCGUCCUGGGCUGGCCAUGCCAGGGACAAAAGAGGGUCCAGUCCCUGUCCUCGGGUCUGGCUGGGGAAACAGGGCUCACUCACAUCCCCCACAAGACCAGCGCCGGGGCGGGGAGCCCAGGGCAGCAACGGAGGCCCUGGACAAGGUCACUUCUGGGCGGAAGUGGUGCCUGGGCUGAGACCUGAAGGGAAAAGGUGGCGGGGGACACUGAAACGGAACCAAGGAGCUGGUACAGGCCAGCCUCGGGCAGAGAGGAGCCUGGCACCCUAGCAAGGGUCAGGCAGCUCGCCUGGCUGGCGCGGGCGGGGGGCGUGAGUACAGGGGGAGGUGCAGGAAGUCAGGGGCGGGUCCACCGGCCCCAGAGGGAGGGGAGGCGGCUGUGCUAUUCGGACUCUGCUGCACACUGGGGCAUUCACAUUUUCACUCCCCCUCCAUCUCUCUGCCCUCCCCUCUCUUAUAUUCCUCUUUCCCUCCAUUUUUCUUCCUUUCCUCCCCCUCCCGACCCCUGCCGAGACCUUUCCCCACCUCCAGGGCACCCACGCUCGUCUCACCUUUGCGAUGGCCCACAGCGCCACCUGCAGGCCAGAGCCGGGGCAGCCCCUCGGCGUCGCCCACCUGACGGAAGACGCUGCUCCGGCGUCUCUUCCACCCAGAGAAGGGCUGCGCCAGCCCUGCCGCCCUCAGCCUCGGUCCGGGCCGGCUGCUCUGACCCUAGCCCCAUCCGCUCCCCAGCGGCCAGAGUGUCCGGUUUAAUGACAGAGUGCUCUGCCUUCCCAGCCCUGCCCCCAUUGCUGCGCGGCCAGGCGUGCCUGCCAGCGUCUCUACUCUCUUGCAGGGGAGGGCGGUCCACAGGGUCAUCACACCCAUCUUACAGACGAAGAGACGGACGUCGGCCAUCCCGGGAUCCGGGCUUUAUACUUAUUUGUGCCUCAACUCUAGGGUUGCCUACACUGUGGAGGCAGGCAGGAUGGCCACCCUCUGCUUCAUGGAAACAGGCGAGGAGAGGCUGUCACUUACCCCAGGCCACUGGCAAGGACAGGAAGUGAAGGUCUUCUGAGCGGCUCUCCAGCUCCCCUUUCCUCUCCCUACCCCAACACCACACCAUUGUGCUUUGAGGACCUGUCCAGCGCCAGCUCUUCGUAUUUUUGAAAGUUCCUUCCUCCAUCACAUCAAGCAUCUUCAGAUCCCACAUUAAAUCAAUGUUUAUGUAACUAUGGAAGAGCCAAGCAGAGCAGAAAGUGAC